Molecule: ribosomal RNA, 560 nt
Filed under: uncultured bacterium
Lineage: Bacteria
Description: partial 16S ribosomal RNA
Rfam family: Bacterial small subunit ribosomal RNA
Source: RNAcentral
UGGGGAAUAUUGGACAAUGGGGGCAACCCUGAUCCAGCCAUGCCGCGUGAGUGAUGAAGGCCUUCGGGUUGUAAAGCUCUUUUGGCGGGGACGAUGAUGACGGUACCCGCAGAAUAAGCCCCGGCUAACUUCGUGCCAGCAGCCGCGGUAAGACGAAGGGGGCUAGCGUUGUUCGGAAUUACUGGGCGUAAAGCGAGUGUAGGCGGUUGCCGUAGUCAGGUGUGAAAGCCUUGAGCUCAACUCAAGAAAUGCACUUGAUACUGGGUGACUAGAGGACCGGAGAGGAUAGUGGAAUUCCCAGUGUAGUGGUGAAAUACGUAGAGAUUGGGAAGAACACCAGUGGCGAAGGCGGCUAUCUGGACGGUUACUGACGCUAAGACUCGAAAGCGUGGGGAGCAAACAGGAUUAGAUACCCUGGUAGUCCACGCCGUAAACGAUGGGUGCUAGACGUUGGCGAGCUUGCUCGUCAGUGUCGCAGCUAACGCGUUAAGCACCCCCGCCUGGGGAGUACGGCCGCAAGGUUGAAANUCAAAAGGAAUUGCGGGGUCUAGCUGUUUCCU